This 648-nucleotide ribosomal RNA is filed under the name Russula messapica. RNAcentral's name for it is "eukaryotic LSU rRNA". The stretch from base 239 to 392 matches the Rfam family "5.8S ribosomal RNA". Lineage: Eukaryota; Fungi; Basidiomycota; Agaricomycetes; Russulales; Russulaceae. The record is from RNAcentral.
AAAAGUCGUAACAAGGCAUACCAAGAAGAACCUGCGGAAGGAUCAUUAUCGAACAUACCCGCUGCAAGCCGUCGCACUGACCUUCAAAGGCCGUGACGCCCGAGCGCUCUCGCCACAAUCCACCUCACCCCUUUGUGCAUCACCGCGUGGGUCCCCCUUUCGCAGGCGGGCUCGCGUUUUCACAUUAAACUUGAUACAGUCUAGAAUGUUAAUUUCUGCGGUCACACGCAAUCAAUACAACUUUCAACAACGGAUCUCUUGGCUCUCGCAUCGAUGAAGAACGCAGCGAAAUGCGAUACGUAAUGUGAAUUGCAGAAUUCAGUGAAUCAUCGAAUCUUUGAACGCACCUUGCGCCCCUUGGCAUUCCGAGGGGCACACCCGUUUGAGUGUCGUGAAAUCCUCAAAAAUCCUUUUCUUUGAUCGGAAUAGGACUUUUGGACUUGGAGGUUCAAUGCUUGCUUUCGCCUUUGAAAACGAGCUCCUCUCAAAUGAAUCAGUGGGGUCCGCUUUGCUGAUCCUUGACGUGAUAAGAUGUUUUCUACGUUUUGGAUUUGGCACUGUUUUCUGGAUGUCCGCUCCUAACCGUCCCAUGGACAGUGAUGGUGCUUCGGUCACCGCCAUCUAUGUUGGCGGGAGGCUGGACCCACG